GGUCUGGUAGUUCAGCUGGUUAGAAUGCCGCCCUGUCACGGCGGAGGUCGCGGGUUCGAGUCCCGUCCAGACCGCAA
This 77-nucleotide transfer RNA is filed under the name Aurantibacter aestuarii. Its description in RNAcentral is "Mesoflavibacter aestuarii tRNA-Asp". It matches the Rfam family "tRNA". Rfam says of the family: Transfer RNA (tRNA) molecules are approximately 80 nucleotides in length. Their secondary structure includes four short double-helical elements and three loops (D, anti-codon, and T loops). The record is from RNAcentral. Lineage: Bacteria; Pseudomonadati; Bacteroidota; Flavobacteriia; Flavobacteriales; Flavobacteriaceae.